AACGCGAAGAACCUUACCUGGUCUUGACAUCCACGGAAGUUUUCAGAGAUGAGAAUGUGCCUUCGGGAACCGUGAGACAGGUGCUGCAUGGCUGUCGUCAGCUCGUGUUGUGAAAUGUUGGGUUAAGUCCCGCAACGAGCGCAACCCUUAUCCUUUGUUGCCAGCGGUCCGGCCGGGAACUCAAAGGAGACUGCCAGUGAUAAACUGGAGGAAGGUGGGGAUGACGUCAAGUCAUCAUGGCCCUUACGACCAGGGCUACACACGUGCUACAAUGGCGCAUACAAAGAGAAGCGACCUCGCGAGAGCAAGCGGACCUCAUAAAGUGCGUCGUAGUCCGGAUUGGAGUCUGCAACUCGACUCCAUGAAGUCGGAAUCGCUAGUAAU
RNAcentral lists this ribosomal RNA (384 nucleotides) under bacterium enrichment culture DGGE gel band MRS3. RNAcentral's name for it is "bacterial SSU rRNA". It matches the Rfam family "Bacterial small subunit ribosomal RNA", at positions 958 to 1342 of the family's 1533-position model. The record is from RNAcentral.